Mercenaria mercenaria is the source of this 1421-nucleotide long non-coding RNA. RefSeq lists it as uncharacterized. Lineage: Eukaryota; Metazoa; Mollusca; Bivalvia; Venerida; Veneridae. The transcript is spliced from 3 exons. The record is from RefSeq and is a predicted model, not a curated record.
GUAAACAUGAGAAAUGCUUCCAGUGAUGAAUAUAAUCCUGAAAUAAUUAGAACCAGUUUAUACAUGUCUAAUUUGAAUGCCCCGACUACUGUCAUUUUAGAUGUUUAUUUCUAUCGAAUACAUGUAGAUUCUUUUUUACUACAGUUUAUGUUUAUGUGCAAUUCAGUUUAUUUUCAUUGCAUUCAGUAAUAUUGAUGCACUAGUCGACAAGCUUUAUCUAUAUAUAGGCAUCUAUUUUUCCGUAGAUAGACAUCGAGAAACAUCUAUAACAUCGUCCAAUUUUAAACACACAAGGAAGUAGUCAAUGGCACAGCGGAUAGCAGGCUCGACUACAACGUCAAAAUCAAAUACACAGACAGGGAAAAGACACCGAGGGUAUUACUUACUGGUGAAACAAUGCAAACACCUCAGAUGAAGGCUGGUGGAUGGAGCACAAUACAGUUUUUCCUUUGUCAGCCAUUUCUUUUAGAGUUUGCACUAUACUUUCUGCCAUAAAUGAGUCCAAGCCAGAGGUUGGUUCGUCACAGAAUAACAACGGCGGAUUUGUCAAGAUCUUUCGAUCUGUAUAAUAUCCAGACAGAAUUUAAGACAGAGAUCUGAUGUUAGUUGCUACGGUAUUGACAAUCGCCAAAUCACCUGUUCUCCUUACUCAAUUUUGCCCUUCUCUGGUUCUUGAUCUAAAGUAAUGUGUGACAAAUGCCGUAUUGCAUAAUGGGAACACGUCAUACUACGGGCAUAGCAAAGUUCCAUUUCCAGAGGAUAUGUAUCGCAAAGGAAAAUAUGCUGUCCAACCACGUUAGAGCCAAGUUUAGCAACUGGCAGGUUUAGUUACGGCACUGCAUUUUAAGUUUGAAAUACAUAAGUAAUGUAGGAUUGGUUGAUAAACUUUGAAGAAAGUCUGAUAUCACCGACUAACCGACUGUUCUAUCCUCUUUUAGAUAAUUUAUAUGAACUGUUAGUGUGUACGCUUGAGGAUUAAGACGAGAAUGUUUGUUCAUCUAGUAACACAUUCUAAAUCAAUGGUAAAACCUUCUCGUUCCAAAGACAGCGAUCAGAUUUUAAUCCCAAAUGGCUUUAUCAGUUUACUAAAUUAUGCAUGCUUUUAUUAUACACAUAUAAUUUAUAAAGUGUAUAUUACAAAGGGCAAUUAAAAUACUUGGCAGCAAUUGAAUUCAGUUUAUAUUAAACUGACAGGGUUGAAAGUCAUAGAUCUUAAUAUUCCAUUGUUACACAAAAAGAAAUGAUUGUAAUCUUAAUUAUAUCAAUCUGUAUUGUAUACUUUAUAUGACUGAUAUAUUGUUUCACAUGACAUCUUAAACUAUAUAAUAUUUAAUUUGUAUUGAAUAUAAAUAUCUGAUAAAAUGUAUACCCAAUCGACAGUUUGACAAAAUAUGAAAAAUGCAGAAUAAUGUGACAUUCAA